RNAcentral lists this long non-coding RNA (1342 nucleotides) under Numida meleagris (helmeted guineafowl). RNAcentral describes it as "lncRNA (ENSNMEG00000018739.1)". Lineage: Eukaryota; Metazoa; Chordata; Aves; Galliformes; Numididae. The record is from RNAcentral.
UCUAAACUACAUUUUUCCUUGCCUAUAUAAAUAACAAUAGCAAUUUAUCUAAUGACUAUUGCAUCCAUACGUACAGCUAAUUUUACAUAUAAAACUCAGGGCAAGCUUCAGUUAUCACCUAUUUUUCUCUCCUCUAUGUACUUGUUUUAUUAUACAAUCUAAGUUAUCCUACCAAAGAGCGUAUUUGAGAAGGAAGAUACUGCAAGGGCAAAGGCCAUUGAAAAAAGUACAUUAGUACUUUAAUUAAUGUACAAAAGUACAUUAAUUAAAAAUGGCCUUUGUUACAUGAGGUUGCAUAAAAUAACAUUUCAAUGGAGUACGUGGGGAAAGUUUGCCUGACUGUGACAGUGCUGCCAAAAUCUAAUUAGAGAUUCAUCGAGUCACAUAUAUCAAUGUUAUUGUCUGUCAGGCAGCCACAAUGUAUCAUGCUUAAGUGGAUUUUUAACUGUCUAAAUCAGUCUGUCUAAACAACAUAAAAUAGGAAACAAAUCAAAAGACUAGUUAAAAUCAUAAAAGUGACACGGAUUUAUUAUAAAACAUCAUUUGUUGUAUUAAUCGGUUUAAUAGCAGGGAGAUAGAGCCAGGUGUGUCAGAGCAAGUGCAUAUGAGGAUGAUGUCAGUGCUAAAACAGAGACAACAUUCUUCAGCCUUUGCAACGAAUAGUACUCCCUGUGCUGUGCUUCACCCACAUCCCUUACAAAGCAGCCUGUGUGCACCACAGUGCCAGGCAGAAUGCAGCCACCUGGGCUCGAGCACCUGGGUUGCUUCAGCUGCUAGAGCACCCCAUCGGCUCUGGGCUCUUUUUGGGAUAAGCCAAGCAGUUGUUUUUGAGAGGAAAACUGGAUAUGAGACCAAGCAGUCACUCCAGAGAGGAAAGUGGGGCAUGAUGACUCACUCCGUGGUUCACAACAAAAAGCAUGGCUGCAGGCCAUCCUUUCUUCUGCCCAUGUUUCCACAGCAGAUAAUGGAGAAUGCGGAUCCUGGAAUUGCUCGCGAUGAUGGGAUGCAGCACAUCAGGCCAGCUUGUGUGGCUGUGUCGUUCCUGGAGAUUUGCUCAGCAGAAAUAAUUAAAAAGAAUAAUUCAGCCUCUGGGACAUCACAUUCACUUACAGUACUUGGAUAUCUCUAGGUGGAUCACUGAUUGAGCAAGGAUCUGUGCCGCUUUCCUCAGCUCUGGCGUGAGAUUUGCAUUUGUAUGUAUGUACACACAGAAGUACACAGACACAAUGAGCAAAGCAGGAAACGAAGCCAAAAUAGCUCAAGGCAGCCUGCCAUGUGAGUUGCACUCCAUUUAACACUAAGUCACUCUUAAUAAAUCAGAAUUGCCUGUCUCCUUUCUCCA